AGAGUUUGAUCAUGGCUCAGAAUCAACGCUGGCGGCGUGCCUAACACAUGCAAGUCGAACGAGAAAGUCCCGCAAGGGAUGAGUAAAGUGGCGCACGGGUGAGUAACACGUGAGCAACCUGCCCUUGGCUCUGGGAUAGCUCCGGGAAACCGGGAUUAAUACCGGAUAUGACCUCCUGCUGCAUGGCGGGGGGUGGAAAGCUUUGUUGCGGCUGGGGAUGGGCUCGCGGCCUAUCAGCUUGUUGGCAGGGUGAUGGCCUACCAAGGCGACGACGGGUAGCCGGCCUGAGAGGGCGGGCGGCCACACUGGGACUGAGACACGGCCCAGACUCCUACGGGAGGCAGCAGUGGGGAAUAUUGCGCAAUGGGCGGAAGCCUGACGCAGCGACGCCGCGUGCGGGAUGAAGGCCUUCGGGUUGUAAACCGCUUUCACCGCAGACGAAGCCUCCGGGUGACGGUAUGCGGGGAAGAAGCGCCGGCUAACUACGUGCCAGCAGCCGCGGUAAUACGUAGGGCGCGAGCGUCGUCCGGAAUCAUUGGGCGUAAAGAGCUCGUAGGCGGCCGGUUGCGUCUGCUGUGAAAUCCCGGGGCUUAACCCCGGGCGUGCAGUGGAUACGGGCUGGCUGGAGGCAGGCAGGGGAGAAUGGAAUUCCCGGUGUAGCGGUGAAAUGCGCAGAUAUCGGGAGGAACACUGGUGGCGAAGGCGGUUCUCUGGGCCUGUGCUGACGCUGAGGAGCGAAAGCGUGGGGAGCGAACAGGAUUAGAUACCCUAGUAGUCC
RNAcentral lists this ribosomal RNA (778 nucleotides) under uncultured bacterium. RNAcentral's name for it is "bacterial SSU rRNA". It matches the Rfam family "Bacterial small subunit ribosomal RNA", at positions 8 to 796 of the family's 1533-position model. The record is from RNAcentral.